GGUACUGUGGUCUAGUUGGUCAUGACAUCUUGCUAUGAGAAGGUCCCUGGUUCGAGCCCGGGCGGAACCC
This is a non-coding RNA of Fusarium torulosum, 70 nucleotides long. The record is from the annotation of a GenBank genome assembly. Lineage: Eukaryota; Fungi; Ascomycota; Sordariomycetes; Hypocreales; Nectriaceae.